GUAGGUGAACCUGCGGAAGGAUCAUUAACAAGUCAAGUGGUACUGGGUCUGCCUGUGGCAGAUCCCCCCAGUAUACACAUAAACCCGAACCCGUGCAGUAAAAUGCCGGGCCAGGUGUUGCAUAGGAUCCUUAACGGGAUCCCGUGCAGCGGAGAGGCGCAAGCCGAUCCACAUAGACGCUUGUAUAUGUUUGACAGAGUAUGAUACACUUAUUAAAAUGACAACUUUUAACAAUGGAUCUCUUGGCUCUU
This 251-nucleotide unclassified non-coding RNA is filed under the name rhizosphere metagenome. RNAcentral's name for it is "partial ribosomal RNA internal transcribed spacer region". The record is from RNAcentral.